Molecule: non-coding RNA, 1463 nt
Organism: Salmo salar (Atlantic salmon)
Lineage: Eukaryota; Metazoa; Chordata; Actinopteri; Salmoniformes; Salmonidae
Source: RefSeq, a predicted model, not a curated record
UUACCAACCUGGAUAAUGCUAUUACAGGUGCCAGUUUGGUGCAGUGUCUUUACCAACCUGGAUAACGCUAUUACAGGUGCCAGUUUGGUGCAGUGUCUUUACCAACCUGGAUAAUGCUAUUACAGGUGCCAGUUUGGUGCAGUGUCUUUACCAACCUGGAUAACGCUAUUACAGGUGCCAGUUUGGUGCAGUGUCUUUACCAACCGGGAUAAUGCUAAUACAGGUGCCAGUUUGGUGCAGUGUCUUUACCAACCUGGAUAAUGCUAUUACAGGUGCCAGUUUGGUGCAGUGUCUUUACCAACCUGGAUAAUGCUAAUACAGGUGCCAGUUUGGUGCAGUGUCUUUACCAACCUGGAUAAUGCUAAUACAGGUGCCAGUUUGGUGCAGUGUCUUUACCAACCUGGAUAAUGCUAAUACAGGUGUCACCUUUAAUCUGCCAUGUUUUUUAUAAUUUCCCCAUCAAUGUUUGUUAGGCAUCAAUAUUUUGGAAAAUAUCUUGUUUUUGGUGUUUGUGUUCUCAACGCAGGUUUCUUAUAUUUCUUGAGGUGAAAAGUUUGGUGGACAGGCAGACAGUGUAAAGUUCUAUCAUUGAACCUUUACUGCCCCCCCAUCAGCACACAUCACCUUUAAGAAAACAGUUCAGAUGCCCCAAUCAGCACACAUCACCUUUAAGAAAACAGUUGAGAUGCCCCCAUCAGCACACAUCACCUUUAAGAAAACAGUUGAGAUUCCUAGACAGAGGGGUCCACCCAUCCAUGGCAUUAGGAAACAUUCCACAUGUUAAUUAGAUGUGAAAACAUGUGAUUUGUUGAUUCUGUAGAGUAAAUGCUGAUAGCUGUUGGACAUUUAGGACCAGAUUGGUUGAUUCUGUAGAGUAAAUGCUGAUAGCUGUUGAACAUGUAGGGCCAGAUUUUAAAUGUGCCAAGUUUGCAUAAUAUUCACAUUUAAGAAAUGGAACGAAAAGUCCUAAACCUCAAGUGAACUGUACUGAAUAUAGUUCCUUAUCGAACAUGGAUGCUCUAUUGCAGAACAGUAGAACCAAGUCAUUCACAUCAGUUUAGAUGUAGAAAUCAUUUAGUUAAGCUGAGGCUGUUCUGCAGUUGAACUUUUCAUUUCAUCUUUCAUUGCUGUAAAAUCAUAACACUGAAUUCAUCAUCACACACAGAUUUUUGUUUGAUUAUAUUAAUCAAUGAUAAAUGAAAUAAAUCUAUGGUUGGAACAGAUUUCCUGGUAUUAACAUGGAAGGUUGCCCAGGUAACCUUGGGUCUGUAAAUGAUCUGUUAUUUACUUCCUGCUCUGACAUUUCUAACAAUGACUGGUUAAUGGAACAUCGAAGUCAUCGAUCUGUUUUAUUGUUGUUGUCGUGGUGAAAAGGAUAUUUUAAUUCAUUAGUAGAAUUUUUCACAUCGAUUUGCGUGUAUCAUCUAGCUUUGGUUUUCAAUAAAAGACACUAUAUAAUACCA